This is a long non-coding RNA of Etheostoma spectabile (orangethroat darter), 157 nucleotides long. RefSeq lists it as uncharacterized. The transcript has 3 exons. The record is from RefSeq and is a predicted model, not a curated record. NCBI's taxonomy places the organism in Eukaryota, Metazoa, Chordata, Actinopteri, Perciformes, Percidae.
UUGAACUAAAAAUGGCAACAUUUGUUUGUGGGAAUGUAAGUUGGGGUAGACAAAACUUAGAUACAUACCAAUAUACAUACAUGUGUGUAUAUUACGGUUCCAUUAAUAAAACCAUAAAUGCUAUAAAAAAAAAACAAAAAAAAACACCAGUUUCAAC